RNAcentral lists this ribosomal RNA (468 nucleotides) under uncultured bacterium. RNAcentral describes it as "partial 16S ribosomal RNA". It matches the Rfam family "Bacterial small subunit ribosomal RNA", at positions 28 to 507 of the family's 1533-position model. The record is from RNAcentral.
GACGAACGCUGGCGGCGUGCUUAACACAUGCAAGUCGAACGGAAAGGCCCUGCUUUUGUGGGGUGCUCGAGUGGCGAACGGGUGAGUAACACGUGAGUAACCUGCCCUUGACUUUGGGAUAACUUCAGGAAACUGGGGCUAAUACCGGAUAGGAGCUCCUGCUGCAUGGUGGGGGUUGGAAAGUUUCGGCGGUUGGGGAUGGACUCGCGGCUUAUCAGCUUGUUGGUGGGGUAGUGGCUUACCAAGGCUUUGACGGGUAGCCGGCCUGAGAGGGUGACCGGCCACAUUGGGACUGAGAUACAGCCCAGACUCCUACGGGAGGCAGCAGUGGGGAAUAUUGCACAAUGGGCGGAAGCCUGAUGCAGCAACGCCGCGUGCGGGAUGACGGCCUUCGGGUUGUAAACCGCUUUCGCCGGUGACGAAGCGUGAGUGACGGUAAUGGGUAAAGAGGCACCGGCUAACUACGUG